GCCGACGUAGCUCAGCAGGCAGAGCGGCGCACUCGUAAUGCGCAGGUCACCGGUUCGAUCCCGGUCGUCGGCUCCA
RNAcentral lists this transfer RNA (76 nucleotides) under Bacillota bacterium. RNAcentral describes it as "Firmicutes bacterium (anaerobic digester metagenome) tRNA-Thr". It matches the Rfam family "tRNA". From Rfam's summary of the family: Transfer RNA (tRNA) molecules are approximately 80 nucleotides in length. The record is from RNAcentral. Lineage: Bacteria; Bacillati; Bacillota.